GAGGGAGCCAAGGCUUCCUCCGGGGACAUUGGCUCUCUGGAUUAUCAGGAGUUUGUGGCUGAUAUUGAAUCUAAGCUGAGGAUGGAAGGUGUGGAACUUAAGGAAGAAUGGCAAGAUGAAGAUUUUCCAGUACCUUUACCAGAGGAUGAUAGUAUGGAAGCAGAUAUACUAGUUGUAACUGGACCAGAGAGCCAGCCUGAAGUUAAUGGAAAUAAAGUAAGAAAGAAACUCACGGCUCCAGACCUUAGCCUGGCCCUGGAUCCUAGCGAUGGCUCUGUGCUGUCAGAUGAUUUGGAUGAAAGUGGGGAGAUUGACUUAGAUGGCUUAGACACGCCAUCAGAAAACAGUAAUGAAUAUGAGUGGGAAAAUGAUCUUCCAAAACCCAAAACUACUGAAAUUGUUAGGAAAGGCUCAAUUACUGAAUACACAGCAGCAGAGGAAAAAGAAGAUGGACGAUGCUGGCGUAUGUUCAGAAUUGGAGAACAGGACCACAGGGUCGAUAUGAAGGCAAUUGAACCCUAUAAAAAAGUUAUCAGCCGUGGAGGAUAUUAUGCGGAUGGAUUAAAUGCCAUUGUUGUGUUUGCUGUCUGUUUUGUGCCUGAAAGUGGUCAACCCAACUAUAGAUACCUGAUGGACAAUCUCUUUAAGUAUGUUAUUGGCACUUUGGAGCUGUUAGUAGCAGAAAACUACAUGAUAGUUUAUUUAAAUGGUGCUACAACUCAAAGAAAAAUGCCCAGUCUGGGAUGGCUCAGGAAAUGCUACCAGCAAAUUGAUAGAAGGUUAUGGAAAAACCUAAAAUCACUAAUCAUUGUACAUCCCUCAUGGUUUAUCAGAACGCUUCUAGCUGUCACAAGAUCCUUUAUUAGCUCAAAAUUCAGCCAAAAAAUUAGAUACGUCUUUUAUCUGGCAGAACUAACAGAACUUGUCCCCAUGGAAUAUGUUGGCAUACCAAAUGCAUAAAACAAGUUAAUCAAGAGCUUAAUGGAAAACAAGAUGAACCGAAAAGUGAACAGUAAGUUUGGCGUCUAGUCCGAACAAGACUGAAGAAUGUGC
Molecule: non-coding RNA, 1053 nt
Organism: Leptonychotes weddellii (Weddell seal)
Lineage: Eukaryota; Metazoa; Chordata; Mammalia; Carnivora; Phocidae
Source: RefSeq, a predicted model, not a curated record